RNAcentral lists this small RNA (122 nucleotides) under Arabidopsis thaliana (thale cress). RNAcentral's name for it is "ATSL027460". The record is from RNAcentral. Lineage: Eukaryota; Viridiplantae; Streptophyta; Magnoliopsida; Brassicales; Brassicaceae.
AAAAUUAAUUUCAUAUCAUCUAAAACUUAAUAGUUAAUUGAGAUGAUAAAGAGAAAAUUGGAAUUUUAUUUUAGUUGUGAGAUCGUAAGUAUGAAAAUAAUAAUAUUUAAUUGUUUAGAUAU